RNAcentral lists this non-coding RNA (219 nucleotides) under Fictibacillus phosphorivorans. Its description in RNAcentral is "T-box sequence". It matches the Rfam family "T-box leader". From Rfam's summary of the family: Uncharged tRNA acts as the effector for transcription antitermination of genes in the T-box leader family. T-boxes are found upstream of many aminoacyl-tRNA synthetase genes and some amino acid biosynthetic genes usually in Gram-positive bacteria. The record is from RNAcentral. Lineage: Bacteria; Bacillati; Bacillota; Bacilli; Caryophanales; Fictibacillaceae.
UUAAACAUGAUGAUUAGGAGUAGUAAGGAUUUUAAUGUUGUUUAGAGAGCUGCAGAAAGGGUGAGAUGCAGUCAGCAUGAAACCUGAACUCACCUUUGAGUGGACAGAUUGAAAGAAGUCUGUACGGUUAACCACCGUAAUCAGGUUCUUUAGGUUUGCGCGAAUUUUUGCGAACGAAGAAGAGUGGUACCACGUUAGGCACAACCUAUCGUCUCUUUA